UACGGAGGAUGCGAGCGUUAUCCGGAUUUAUUGGGUUUAAAGGGUGCGCAGGCGGAGGUGCAAGUCAGUGGUCAAAUUGCGGGGCUCAACCCCGUCGUGCCGUUGAAACUGAUGUUCUUGAGUGGGCGAGAAGUAUGCGGAAUGCGUGGUGUAGCGGUGAAAUGCAUAGAUAUCACGCAGAACUCCGAUUGCGAAGGCAGCAUACCGGCGCCCAACUGACGCUGAAGCACGAAAGCGUGGGUAUCGAACAGG
This 252-nucleotide ribosomal RNA is filed under the name uncultured Bacteroidales bacterium. RNAcentral's name for it is "partial 16S ribosomal RNA". It matches the Rfam family "Bacterial small subunit ribosomal RNA", at positions 524 to 776 of the family's 1533-position model. Lineage: Bacteria; Pseudomonadati; Bacteroidota; Bacteroidia; Bacteroidales. The record is from RNAcentral.